Oxyura jamaicensis (ruddy duck) is the source of this 360-nucleotide long non-coding RNA. RefSeq lists it as uncharacterized. The transcript is spliced from 3 exons. NCBI's taxonomy places the organism in Eukaryota, Metazoa, Chordata, Aves, Anseriformes, Anatidae. The record is from RefSeq and is a predicted model, not a curated record.
AAGGUCUCUAGUGAACGAGGCAGGGUACUUUGGAACAAAAAAAGGCUGAUCUCAGGCUUAAGAGCUCCUGUGUGGUGCCAGGCUUCCUUUUAGAUGAGAGAACAUGGUGGGAUUUUUGUCUGAAACAUCAGUCACCACAACAAUUAACAGUGUCAUUUCAGAGGUUACCAAAUCUGGAUGACAUUUUACUAGGAUUCUUUCAUGUUUGAUGCUUCCUUGUGAGUCAAGUUCUGUGCAACAGCUUGCUCCAGCAGUGACCUUGAGGAGUGUGCCUUUUGACUUCAAAUCAAAAUGUUCUAGAAACUGUCAACCAAAGUGAUCCAGCUGAUCUUAACAGAUGAGAAAGUAAAUAAAGCAAAA